AUGGCUCCUCAAGUUUUUGGCACCCAAUCUCUGAUUCCUCUGUCCCACCAUGCACUCUUCCUUCUUUGCACCAUCCUCAUAUUUCAAUCCUCCAACACAAUCAUAUUCUCAUCAGCACAGGCUACCAACAAAACCGAAGAUGACCGGCAAGCUCUUCUUUGCUUCAAAUCUGGCAUCUCCAAGGACCCUGCCGGUGUUCUUCGAUCAUGGCGCAGUGACAACUUCUGUGGCUGGCGAGGGGUCACCUGCAGCACCACCCUCCCAAUCCGCGCCGUGUCCCUCCAACUCAGGUCUACGCUGCUCACAGGAACACUAUCCAGUUGCAUGGCAGCCCUUGAUUCUCUAGUUCAGUUGAACCUUGGGAACAAUAAGUUAUCUGGAAGCGUACCUGAAGAGAUAGGUGAGCUUCGGAGCCUCCAAACCCUGAUGCUUGCUGGCAACAGGCUUUCAGGUACCAUCCCUCUGUCAUUAGGUACAGCUGCAUCUCUUAGAUAUGUCAACCUUGCAAACAAUUCUCUUAGCGGAGCUAUCCCUGUUUCCUUAGCAAAUAGUUCAUCACUCAGUGAGAUAAUCCUCUCACGUAAUGACUUAUCUGGGUUGAUCCCAGCUAAUCUGUUCAACUCAUCCAAACUUGUUGCUGUUGACCUCCGGUCGAAUGCUCUCUCCGGGCCUAUCCCACAUUUCCAAAAGAUGGAUGCUCUGCAAUUUCUUAAUCUUACAGGGAAUUUACUUUCUGGUACUAUACCAGCAUCUUUGGGCAAUGUUUCAUCAUUGCGUUCCCUCCUGCUAGCACAAAACAACUUAGCAGAAUCAAUUCCGGAAACUUUGGGUCAAAUUCCAAACCUAACAAUGCUAGAUCUAAGUUACAAUAGAUUCUCGGGGUAUGUCCCAGCCACACUGUACAAUAUGUCAUCACUCGCACUCUUUAGGUUAGACAGCAACUAUUUUAUCGGACAGAUACCUUCUAAAAUAGGCCACUCACUUCCAAAUCUUCAAACAUUGGUAAUGGGAGGCAACGGAUUUCGUGGACCAAUCCCAGAUUCUCUGACCAACAUGUCAAAGCUCCAAGUGCUUGAUCUUUCAAGCAACUUGCUGACGGGCGUGGUGCCAUCUUUAGGAUCCUUGGCAAACUUGAGUGUACUGCUUCUAGGAGAUAAUAAACUCGAAGCUGAUAACUGGGCAUUCCUUACCUCUCUGACCAAUUGCACUCAGUUGUUAAUAUUAUCAGUAGAUGGAAAUAUCCUGAAUGGAAGUUUGCCAAAAGCAGUGGGCAAACUUUCAACAAAGCUUCAGCGGUUAAGCUUUGGUAGAAACCAAAUUUCUGGAAACAUACCAGCUGAGAUAGGCAAGCUUGUAAGUCUCGCUCUGCUUGACAUGGGCCAGAACAUGCUCUCAGGACAAAUUCCCCCGAGUGUUGGGAACUUGAGCAAUUUGUUUAUCCUGGAACUAUCGAGGAAUAGAUUAUCAGGUCAGAUUCCAUCAACGGUUGGUUAUCUUCCUCAACUCGGCCAGUUUUAUCUUGAUGACAACAGUUUGUCUGGAAACAUACCAGCAACUAUAGGACAAUGCAAAAGUCUAGAUAUGCUGAACUUCAACAACCUUGAUGGAUCCAUACCAAGAGAACUCCUAAAUAUUUCUUCCCUUUCAUUGGGUUUGGACUUGUCAAACAACAACCUGGAUGGGCCGGUACCAAGGGAAGUUGGUAACCUGAUCAAUCUUGGCCUUCUUAAUGUUUCCAACAACAAAUUGUCGGGUAGCCUUCCUUCUGAACUUGGCAUGUGUAUUCGUCUGACAUCCCUUCAGAUUGAAAGCAACAUGCUUAGUGGGAUUAUUCCUCAGUCUCUCGCUGCACUAAGGGGCUUAGACCAAAUAGAUCUGUCUGACAACAAUUUAACUGGUGAAGUUCCGCAGUUUUUUGAGGGCUUCAGCAGCAUAAGUUACAUUGAUAUAUCAAACAACAAAUUUGAAGGGCCAAUCCCGACUGGUGGUAUAUUCAGAAAUUCAACUAAGGUAUCCCUGCAAGGUAACAAAGGGUUAUGUGAAACUGCUGCUGCCAUAUUUGGACUUCCCAUUUGCCCAACCACCUCUCCCACCACCUCAUCAACAAAAAGGAAGAUCAACACACGCCUGCUGCUGAUAAUAGCUCCAGCAGUUACUAUUGCUUUGUUCUCAUUAUUAUGUGUUGUUGUCACUGUUAUGAAGGGGACUAAAGCUCAACCAUCUGAAAGUUUCAAGGAGACAAUGAAGAGGGUGUCAUAUGGGGACAUCCUUAAAGCCACCAAUUGGUUCUCCCCGGUCAACAGGAUCAGCUCCAGUCACACAGCAUCAGUCUACAUUGGUCGGUUUGAGUUCGAAACGGAUCUAGUGGCCAUCAAGGUCUUCCAUCUUAGCGAGCAAGGUUCGAGGAAUAGCUUUUUCAGCGAGUGUGAAGUACUAAAACACACCCGCCACCGUAAUCUGGUUCAAGCUAUUACCCUGUGCUCAACGGUUGAUUUUGAGGGCGAUGAGUUCAAGGCUAUAGUAUACGAGUUCAUGGCAAAUGGUAGCCUGGACAUGUGGAUACACCCAAGGGUUGGCAGCUCAAGGAGGCUGCUGAGCUUGGGCCAGCGGAUAAGUAUUGCUGCUGAUGUGGCUUCCGCUCUGGACUAUAUGCACGACCAACUGACACCUCCUUUGAUUCACUGUGAUCUGAAGCCGAGCAAUGUUCUGCUGGACUACGACAUGACCUCACGCAUUGGCGACUUUGGGUCCGCCAAGUUUCUCUGUUCAAGUAUCGGCAGACCAGAAGGCUUGAUUGGUGUAGGAGGAACAAUCGGAUAUAUCGCUCCUGAAUACGGGAUGGGAUGCAAAGUCUCGACAGGCGGCGACGUGUACGGCUUCGGGGUGCUGCUACUGGAGAUGCUCACGGCGAUGCGACCUACGGAUGCACAAUGCAGCAACGCCCUCAGCCUCCACAAGUACGUCGAUCGAGCCUUCCCCGAGAGGAUCGCUGAGAUUCUAGAUCCUCAUAUGCCAUCCGAGGAGGACGAGGCGGCUGCUUCUCUGCGUAUGCAAAACUACAUUAUACCUUUGGUCAGUAUUGGCCUGAUGUGUACCAUGGAUUCGCCGCAAGAUAGACCAGGUAUGCAUGAUGUCUGUGCCAGAAUUGUUGCCAUCAAAGAGGCAUUUGUCGAGACCUUGUUGUGA
RNAcentral lists this ribosomal RNA (3186 nucleotides) under Triticum aestivum (bread wheat). Its description in RNAcentral is "partial small subunit ribosomal RNA". The record is from RNAcentral. Lineage: Eukaryota; Viridiplantae; Streptophyta; Magnoliopsida; Poales; Poaceae.